CUGCCAUAGGAUAGGAUCGUGCUCGAUUAUGGUUGUUGGUGAGGUAACGGCUCACCAAGCCGAUAAUCGAUAGGGGCCGUGAGAGCGGGAGCCCCAAGAUGGGUACUGAGACAGCGACCCAGGCCUUACGAGGCGCAGCAGGUACGAAACCUCCGCAAUACACGAAAGUGUGACGGGGUUACCCAAAGUGUUCUUAUUGAACUGUGGCAGGUGAGUAAUGUCCCCUGCUAGAAAGGAGAGGGCAAGGCUGGUGCCAGCCGCCGCGGUAAAACCAGCUCUUCAAGUGGUCGGGAUAAUUAUUGGGCUUAAAGUGUCCGUAGCCGGUUUAGUAAGUUCCUGGUAAAAUCAGGUAGCUUAACUAUCUGUAUGCUAGGAAUACUGCUAUACUAGAGGGCGGGAGAGGUCUGAGGUACUACAGGGGUAGGGGUGAAAUCUUAUAAUCCUUGUAGGACCACCAGUGGCGAAGGCGUCAGACUGGAACGCGCCUGACGGUGAGGGACGAAAGCCAGGGGAGCGAACCGGAUUAGAUACCCGGGUAGUCCUGGCCGUAAACGAUGCAUACUAGGUGAUGGUACGGCCAUGAGCCGUGUCAGUGCCGUAGGGAAACCGUUAAGUGUGCCGCCUGGGAAGUACGGUCGCAAGGCUAAAACUUAAAGGAAUUGGCGGGGGAGCACCACAAGGGGUGAAGCCUGCGGUUCAAUUGGAGUC
Molecule: ribosomal RNA, 708 nt
Filed under: uncultured archaeon
Lineage: Archaea
Description: bacterial SSU rRNA
Rfam family: Archaeal small subunit ribosomal RNA
Source: RNAcentral